AGAAGGGGUGAAAGACGGAGACAUCCUGGUGUUCAGGGCUGAAGAAUCCCCAUUUGCUGUCUGACACUGUUCCUUUUUUCCUCCUGGAGGUUGGAUGGUGGCUGCUGUUGUGGCAAAUGCUGGGCAAAGACUAAAGCUUUCUACAAUGUCCGAACCUCGAGGACUACAAAUGUUUCGAGCCCCGAACAUCAAAUCUUCCAUCUACUGCUGUCAGAUGUCUUGGGGAUUUUCAGAACUCUGAGGAUAGUAGUUUCCCAGGGGAUCUUAUCUCAAUGAAGUAAAAUUUUGAGGCUCCAAUGCUCCUGGACUUUCAGAGGUUUGGGCAGGAAUUCCCAGGAGCCUGAACAUCACUUGGCAGCUUCUGCUCCAGCAAUGGAUGGACCAGGGAAGGAUGACGUACUCUGCUCAAUCCAGCGCAAUAGAAUAGUAUUAUUGCAAUAUAAAACCAAUAUAAGUGGUUGUUCAUGCAACACCGUGUGUUUGGGAGAAGACUGUUUCAAAACCCAAUGUGUGUUCUACUUAUAAAGGGAAUAUCUCAGUUACUGACUGAAUUGUAACUAUCACUGGGCACCAUAACUUCAUAGCAUUACAUGGAAAACUCCUGCCUCAUCAAGAAACCCUAUGAUGUCAGACACCCACACAACGCAACCGGUAUUAUAGGACAAUAUGCUUCUCUGAAGAUGAUUUACAUUGAGCUACCAGACUUAGGUUCUGCUCUUGGUAUUGCCCUCCACUUGGUUGGGAUCAUCCUGGGAUUUUAACUGGGUCACAAGGCCAUAAAACAUGAUCAGUCUCUCAAACUGAUCUGCUUUAUUACUAAUUUCUCCUAUUGCAUAAGUGACAAGUCACCUGCAUUAUUUUACUUCAGAAACUUAUUAUCUUUCCGUGGUGGGGAGGCAGCUGAAUAGGACUCUCCUUCGCAUGUUCAAUAACCCGGAAGUGAAUUGUCUCCCGAAGGCCAUAUUUCCCUUAUGUAACCAACCCACAACACCAUUUCUUCCCUACUCUUUCAGUUUAGCACCCAUCUUGCAGAAGACGGGACUUUUGCUCAGGAACACAACCUGAGUCUUAAAUGUAUAACACAUGGACUAACUUUAUUCUGACCUUAACCCCGGGCCACUGGAACAGCAUCCAACCAAGUUAUUUCAGCCAUCGAGGUUGAUUUGUGAUCAAGGCCCAGACGGUUUCUACCAUCCCCCUGCUUUCUCAGCUCAAAGCUGCAUUUUCUGUUGCUUAAAAAUUUGCAUAUUUUCUCAGUGCCUGUUUCUGAUUCACAAUAAACAAUGCUCAGACCUCCUGCCAAAAAAAUGUCCAAGCGCGAAAUAGUUGCUAUAAUAGUCGUUUUUGUGAUGGCAACUUUGAGCUGUAUGCUUUUAAAUUAUAAUUACUUUUUUUUUCCUACAAAAGAUGUGUAUCUGUCUUGAUUGCUGUGAUUAUGAUUCUAUACCCACAAACAGUUAUAAAAGGCUCAUGUCAUGGCUGUGCCUCAUGAAACCCUUGCUUUUCAGUAAGCAUCCUCUGGUGACCGUAUUAUGCUUGUGUUUAAUUUGCGGCUGAGGAACCUAAUGAGAAGCUAUUAAUCAUUGAACGUGUAUAUAAAAAUGUGUGUCCCUAAAUAAACAGACCAAAGAGGAGAUGCAAGCCCAUUAUUAGCAUGGUGAGAUUUAGAAUUGUAAAAGGGACUUGAAACAAAUAAUCUAGUCGAAUCUAACUUUAUGAGUGACACUCAAAAUCGGAAAAGGGAACAUGCAGUUUCAUCAUUGAAAACACAUCAGGACCAGGAGUCAAGGGACACGAAUUCUAAACCCAAACUUGACACUGAAGAGUUAUGGCAUAUGUUGAUCUGAUUUCCUUGUUUCUCUCUGUUUCCAAACUGCUGUGCAGAAUCAACCCACAGACUAGGGGGGUACUUGGCAGAAAGAGUAGUUAACCGAGGGAGGCUUGAGCCAAGCACGUUACCCAUUCAGCUAGAGCAGCUUGCUUGAGUGUGUUUUAUAUGGUGAUGAUUAUCAAAGGAAGACUUCACCUUUUCACUUCUUGAAGGUUGAUGUUUACUGAUGAGUUUUCCUCGAGGGUUAGAAUCAUGGGUGGAAUGAGAGAGAGAAUAAAGCACAGUGAGGGGUAAUGAGUAGACAUUUAUGUCUAAGAGAUGAGCAAGCACAAGGGAAGGACAGCUACUCUGCUGGGCCCGGGGCUGGGAAAG
This 2203-nucleotide small RNA is filed under the name Rattus norvegicus (Norway rat). RNAcentral's name for it is "uncharacterized LOC108349962". Lineage: Eukaryota; Metazoa; Chordata; Mammalia; Rodentia; Muridae. The record is from RNAcentral.